GGUUGGGUUACAGGGCAAAUACUCCAUUGGAAGAUAAUUUCCACUACAUAUAUAUAUCAUUUGAAUAUUAGUUUUGCCUGAUAUAUAUGUAUGAAAGAAACACUUUGCUGCCAAAGGAGAUUUGCCCUGCAAUCCAUCU
This 139-nucleotide microRNA precursor is filed under the name Brassica rapa (field mustard). RNAcentral describes it as "mir-399 microRNA precursor family". It matches the Rfam family "mir-399 microRNA precursor family". Rfam says of the family: mir-399 was identified in both Arabidopsis thaliana and Oryza sativa computationally and was later experimentally verified. mir-399 is thought to target mRNAs coding for a phosphatase transporter. The mature sequence is excised from the 3' arm of the hairpin. Lineage: Eukaryota; Viridiplantae; Streptophyta; Magnoliopsida; Brassicales; Brassicaceae. The record is from Rfam by way of RNAcentral.